RNAcentral lists this ribosomal RNA (408 nucleotides) under uncultured bacterium. RNAcentral describes it as "partial 16S ribosomal RNA". It matches the Rfam family "Bacterial small subunit ribosomal RNA", at positions 28 to 526 of the family's 1533-position model. The record is from RNAcentral.
GACGAACGCUGGCGGCGUGCUUAACACAUGCAAGUCGAACGAAGUGGCGAACGGGUGAGUAACGCGUAAUCAACCUGCCCUUCAGAGGGGGAAAACAGUUGGAAACGACUGCUAAUACCGCAUACGGAAGGAGGGGAUUGCGUGUGAUUAGCUCGUUGGAGGGGUAACGGCCCACCAAGGCGAGGAUCAGUAGCCGGGCUGAGAGGGUGAACGGCCACAUUGGGACUGAGAAACGGCCCAGACUCCUACUGGAUGCAGCAGGGGGGAAUUUUCCGCAAUGGACGGAAGUCUGACGGAGCAACGCCGCGUGAGUGAUGACGGCCUUCGGGUUGUAAAGCUCUGUUAAUCGGGACGCGGUACCGGAAUAGAAAGCCACGGCUAACUCCGUGCCAGCAGCCGCGGUAAUUC